GAUGAACGCUGGCGGCGUGCCUAAUACAUGCAAGUCGAACGCUGGAAAUCUAGCUUGCUUGAUUGGAGGAGUGGCGAACGGGUGUGUAAUACAUAAGCAACCUCCCCACGAAGACCGGGGUAAUCUCUGGAAACGGGGACUAAUACCGGAUAGGUAUUUGGAAGGCAUCUUUUGAUAAUUAAAGGUUAAACUCACUGGUGGAUGGACUUAGGGCGCAUUGGUUUGUUGGUGAGGUAACGGCCCAGCAAGACGAUGAUGCGUAGCCGUGCUGAGCGUGUGACAGGCCACAUUGGGACUGAGACACAGCCCAGACUCCUACGGGGCGCAGCGGUAGGUAACUUUCGGCGAGGAGGGAAAACCGGACAGAGCAACGCCGCGGAAGUGAUGACGGCCAUCGUGUAGUAAAGCUCUGUUGUAAGAGAAGAACGGUAGAUAGAUAAUAACUAAAUGACGGUACCUAACCAGAAAGCCACGGCUAACUACGUG
RNAcentral lists this ribosomal RNA (486 nucleotides) under uncultured bacterium. Its description in RNAcentral is "partial 16S ribosomal RNA". It matches the Rfam family "Bacterial small subunit ribosomal RNA", at positions 28 to 507 of the family's 1533-position model. The record is from RNAcentral.